AUCCUGGCUCAGGACGAACGCUGGCGGCGUGCCUAAUACAUGCAAGUCGAACGCGUCUUGGUUAUUGAUGUUAAGUGCUUGCAUUUAACUGAUUUAACAUUGAGACGAGUGGCGAACUGGUGAGUAACACGUGGGUAACCUGCCCUUGAAGUAGGGGAUAACACUUGGAAACAGGUGCUAAUACCGUAUAACAACCAAAACCACCUGGUUUUGGUUUAAAAGAUGGCUUCGGCUAUCACUUUAGGAUGGACCCGCGGCGUAUUAGCUUGUUGGUAAGGUAACGGCCUACCAAGGCAAUGAUACGUAGCCGACCUGAGAGGGUAAUCGGCCACAUUGGGACUGAGACACGGCCCAAACUCCUACGGGAGGCAGCAGUAGGGAAUCUUCCACAAUGGACGAAAGUCUGAUGGAGCAACGCCGCGUGAGUGAUGAAGGGUUUCGGCUCGUAAAACUCUGUUGUUGGAGAAGAACAGGUGUGAGAGUAACUGUUCACAUCUUGACGGUAUCCAACCAGAAAGCCACGGCUAACUACGUGCCAGCAGCCGCGGUAAUACGUAGGUGGCAAGCGUUGUCCGGAUUUAUUGGGCGUAAAGCGAGCGCAGGCGGUUUCUUAGGUCUGAUGUGAAAGCCUUCGGCUUAACCGGAGAAGUGCAUCGGAAACCAGGAGACUUGAGUGCAGAAGAGGACAGUGGAACUCCAUGUGUACGGUGAAAUGCGUAGAUAUAUGGAAGAACACCAGUGGCGAAGGCGGCUGUCUGGUCUGUAACUGACGCUGAGGCUCGAAAGCAUGGGUAGCGAACAGGAUUAGAUACCCUGGUAGUCCAUGCCGUAAACGAUGAGUGCUAAGUGUUGGAGGGUUUCCGCCCUUCAGUGCUGCAGCUAACGCAUUAAGCACUCCGCCUGGGGAGUACGACCGCAAGGUUGAAACUCAAAGGAAUUGACGGGGGCCCGCACAAGCGGUGGAGCAUGUGGUUUAAUUCGAUGCUACGCGAAGAACCUUACCAGGUCUUGACAUCUUCUGCCAACCUAAGAGAUUAGGCGUUCCCUUCGGGGACAGAAUGACAGGUGGUGCAUGGUUGUCGUCAGCUCGUGUCGUGAGAUGUUGGGUUAAGUCCCGCAACGAGCGCAACCCUUAUUGUUAGUUGCCAGCAUUCAGUUGGGCACUCUAGCAAGACUGCCGGUGACAAACCGGAGGAAGGUGGGGAUGACGUCAAAUCAU
RNAcentral lists this ribosomal RNA (1219 nucleotides) under Lentilactobacillus parabuchneri. Its description in RNAcentral is "16S ribosomal RNA". It matches the Rfam family "Bacterial small subunit ribosomal RNA", at positions 16 to 1193 of the family's 1533-position model. The record is from RNAcentral. Lineage: Bacteria; Bacillati; Bacillota; Bacilli; Lactobacillales; Lactobacillaceae.